CGUAAAUAAUGACAAUCACACAAAAUUGGAACGCCCGCCACGGACCGGUUGUUGACGAAUUAGCGUUUCCGUGAACGGAUCAAUGCCCGUUCAAUAAUGCCCAUUGAUUUUGAAUUCGAAAUUUUUGGAGAACGGAUGUACGUCCGAUCACUAGAGCCGUCUAGUGAAAGAAUAUAAAAUGGCAUCUUGUGGAAAAAUCGGACAUAGAUCCGAUUUUUCCCGCUAGAAGGUCCGAUUUAGACGACAGCGAGAUCGGAACAUAGUCCGUGAACAGUUGAAGUUUGUGUUGGACUAGCACUAAGAAUUUCCAGCGGUUUCACUAACUGUUUUGUUUGAAUAUAGCAGCGAAAUUGGAGGUCUCCGGAAAUUGAAUGUUGGUAUAAUUUAAUGGAGAGCAUCGCGUUACUUUUGGUUUGAUUACCAGGUUCCAUUUAAUUUUUUUUUCUAACUCCUUCUAACUGCCGACCGUUGUUGCAAAAAAAAAAAAUGGCGCCAGCCGAGGUGCUGAAAAUUUAGGUCGUUUGGCGUUCCGUAAUUGUAUGAAGGUUGACUUUCAAUUUUUCACUAGACACAGAUAGUAAUUUGAAUGGUGCAGUUCCAUCCGCAGCCUUCCAGUGUACAAAAAUAGACAAUGGAAAAAAUCUUAAAGUGUAAAAAGAUGUUAAAGCAGGAAAAACCUAAAGUUGGAGGACAAUUCAUUUGUUUUUCGUUACUAGUUUUCUUUUCUUCCAAAUCUUCAGCUUCCCAGGCAGACACACAUCUAUAAAGCCAUGGGUGAUAGAUGAUAUUCACAGGGGGCACGACUGUGUGGUAAAUUGGUUUCACUUUUACAAAGCCAAACAGCAAAUUAAGAUCAUGUGUCUACUGUGAAAGAGAUCAUGUCUCUCAAUGAAAAUUACUCUGUUUGCGACAUCAGACCUCCCCAGUGUGUCAUUCUGAAGCAGAGCUCUUGAAAUCAAGUUUAACGUUUUGUAACAUCUUAGUCCAAAGCUGAAGUUCUAGUUUAUUGUCUUGUUUUAGAAGUAUUAGAAAAGUCGUUGCUUUUUGGUUAGUUUCUUCGCCGUCCGAUGCAUCAAUUGGAAUGAUAUUCACUUCCUCGACAUCAUUGUUCACGUAAUUUAAUAACUUUGGGCUACGAAAAAAGUUGUACUAAUCUUCAAUUUUUAAAAGAAAACUUUGAUGCAUUAUUCUUAUCUCGAGGUUAUAUCGAUCCUCAAAGGUAAAUCGGAAGAGGGUUUUCUUUUCCUUGACAUAAGAACGGAAAUUUAAGCAUUAGCAAGUCAUCCGAAUCCAAACAGAUCAAAUGCACUAGGUAUUCCGCCUCGUCCAGCAACUUAGCAUCCAACAACAGAAUGUAUUAAAGAGGAAAGUAAUUGACCAAAUGCCGACUCUACGAUUUUCAUGUAAGAUGAAUGUUAUAAAUCCAAGGAGAUCUGGUGAGCAGGAUGCAACGAACUAUGUCAAACCAUUAGCUGAAUACAAUGAAUACCAUCAGUUCCCCAGAACGAAAGGUUAAUAAUCAUACUGAAUCAAAAGAGGCAUCAAGUUAAACGAGAUUUUAAAAUGAUAACGCCAGCAGUGCAGUGCUGAGCUUGUCUUUAUUUUGCCCGUAGCAGAAAAAGGUUUAAACAGUAGAGGAAGUAGAGGAAAUUGCCGUAAAACCGGUUUUGAAAAUGUCGAGCACGGAAUAAGCGAACGAUUUUACCUGACAAUUCGCGUGAAACGUUCUUUGAUUAUCUACUGUUAAGGACCUCAAUGUAUAAAAUACGUCGCGUUCGGGAAGUACCGCAGUGACUAGUGCGGGUUAAAAUUGGCCACAACUCGUAUAUAGCAGGCUAACUUAUCCCAUUUGAAAGGUUUCGGAAAAAAAAAGAUCUGUAGUGAAGUCCUGUCAAUAUUUUCCCGAAGCGCAUUCAAGAACGGGGUUUAACAUCUUGCAUAGUUAUAGGAAACAAUAAGAAAUAAUUAAUAUCACACUUAUAAGCAGCGAAACGAACAAUGGAAAGUUCUGAGAGAGCUGGAUCUUAGUCAAAACGUUCCCUUUCAUCGUGGAGUUAAAUCAUCUUUUGUUUUUUUCCCAAUUGGUGAUGUGUUUCUUGAAACUGAGGAAGAAGCACAUGAGGUAGCCGAUUUUGAGAAGUAAUCUGUAACUGUCCCGUGCAUCACUUGCGGCAUCGCUGUUACGGCCAGUAAUCCAAUCCGACAACUGGAGCCACGUACCAACAAAUACGAAAGCCAUGUCCCUCGGCUCAACCUUCCAACCCUAAAAAAAAGCCGACGAUGUUAUGUGACUUGGUAAUCCCAGUAGCCGAAGAUGCUGCAAGCUACUUCAUCUUGUAUCCGGAGUAUUGGCAAGAUCCUAAGAAGUUAGGUCAAUGACACUGAUGUAUGCUGAUAUCCUUAAGUACGGGAAGUCUUUGAAGAACCUGAAAAUCCAUCUUAUUCACUAACAGAAGUCUCAAUCGUAACUGGGAAAGAAAAAAUCAAAAUGGAAAAAGUACGGCAGUGGCUUAAAGUUGAUGAUUUAUUCUCAAAUGAAUGACAGAAUUCGACUGCCAUGACUCGGCAAGCUGGACUUUUACGAGUUAGACUUCAGUCAACUUCCAUCCAUGAAUCGAUGCAGCAGCAAUACUCCGGACACACUGCUGAAAGAGCACACACACGGCUGAAACCGGCGAGGUAAUUGCAGCCAAUAAAAACGCCUUUAAAAAAAAACAAUCACAUGUGUACAUAUACAAUUUCCUCGUUUUUUGCUGUUUUAUACAACUGCCAAUUGAUCCUCUGGUGUCACUUUUCCCAUGACUUUGAAGUUGAGGAAUUCCUUUUACAACUCGUGAUGGUUGUAAAUUAGGAUAACAGAUGGCGGAACUGCGCCUCUGUAUUUGUUUUGUGUGUGACAAGUGAAACCUAUGUAUGAAUAUUUGUGAACUAUGUUACAUUCCAUUGAUAAGUUUGAUCAAAUUAAAUGGUGUGAUUUCAGCUAUUGGGAGUUUUUCAUUCAUUCCUGUGUUUUUGGAGUGAGAAAAAUCAAGUGGAUAAUUUUGUGUGCAACGGGUAAACUUGUGAUCAGCUAUGCCAGCUGCCUGAUCCAAACUAUUACUUUUACAUUCCCAUCAUGCUAUUCUAUUGCACAUUGAGAGAAGUAGUUGAUGAAACCUAAAUAGCAAAAGAUACUAACCGUGAGGAAAGGUUUGAAAUGACACAAACCAUAUGAACUGGAAUACCAUCAUGAUAAUAACAUCAUUGUGCUACUCUACUCAUUUAUUAUGUCCUGUCAGUUUUGGUCUGAAAAAUGCACCGUAUUUUGUGUUGCAAACCUUUUACCACAACAAUUUCAAUAAUCUUCUCAUCAUUUCUACUUAGCCUAUCAAGUGGCAGGAUUUUGAGUUGCAAGCUCAUGUACGUAUCUAAAAUGAAAAGUAUGCUGGCCUUGAAGGGAGAUCUCCAACAAUCCAAAAUCAAUGGAUUUGAAUACCUCAGGUCAUUCUAUACUCUUUGCCCACUCAUCAUCUCAUCCAACACAUUCUUCGCCUUGCCCGUCGCCCAGUCUUGGCUUCGCCCAUCGCCCAGUCUUGGCUUCGCCCAUCGCCCAGUCUUGGCUUCGCCCAUCGCCCAGUCUUGGCUUCGCCCAUCGCCCAGUCUUGGCUUCGCCCAUCGCCCAGUCUUGGCUUCGCCCAUCGCCCAGUCUUGGCUUCGCCCAUCGCCCAGUCUUCGCUUCGCCCGUCGCCAUAUCUUCGCUUCGCCCGUCGUCUCGUCUUCGCCUCUUGGUCACCCCCUCUUCACUUCAUCGCCUCGUCUUUGUGGUAUCGUUGUAUUUUGUAAUGUGUAAUUGUAUAGUGUUAAUUAACCCGUUGGCUGCCACCCACUUUUAUCCUUUUUUUUUAAAAGCUUGUUAGGGUCCGGCAGCGCUGUUCUGCCCAAUGGUCUAUAUGCCAUGGGUGGGACAGUUGCACAAGCCGUGUGGCUCAAAGUCGAUCGUCGAGGCAAUCUACCAGUAGGGACUUUCCCUUUUUCGAUGCUUUGAUGGUUGUCUGGAGAGUACAUUCUCACAAAAGAUUCUGUUAUCGUGUCAGCCCGGAUUUGUCGUAGGACAAGUCUCCCUUGGUCGCUAUCCAUUAGAUAGCGAUUUAGCUAGAGUGUAGAUUUAUUGGUGUGGCAGCCAACGGGUUAGUUUUAUUUAAAAUGUAUGUUUUGUAUUAUGUUGUAUUGUAUUGUAUUGUAUUGUAUUGUAUUGUAUUGCAAAAUGGAAU
Molecule: long non-coding RNA, 4250 nt
Organism: Daphnia magna
Lineage: Eukaryota; Metazoa; Arthropoda; Branchiopoda; Diplostraca; Daphniidae
Exons: 13
Source: RefSeq, a predicted model, not a curated record